AUACGUCAGCGGCAGACGGGUGAGUAACGCGUGGGAACAUACCUUUUGGUUCGGAACAACACAGGGAAACUUGUGCUAAUACCGGAUAAGCCCUUACGGGGAAAGAUUUAUCGCCGAAAGAUUGGCCCGCGUCUGAUUAGCUAGUUGGUGAGGUAACGGCUCACCAAGGCCAAGAUGCCUAGCAGGUGUGAGAGCACGACCUGCGUCACUGGCACUGGGACACUGGCCAGACUCCUACGGGAGGCUGCAGUCGAGGAUCUUCGGCAAUGGGCGAAAGCCUGACCGAGCGACGCCGCGUGUGCGAUGAAGGCCUUCGGGUUGUAAAGCACUGUCGUGGGGGAGAAAGCCCGCAAGGGUUGAUCGACCCCAGGAGGAAGCACGGGCUAAGUUCGUGCCAGCAGCCGCGGUAAGACGAACCGUGCGAACGUUAUUCGGAAUCACUGGGCUUAAAGGGUGCGUAGGCGGGCUCGUGAGUCAGGGGUGAAAUCCCACGGCCCAACCGUGGAAGUGCCUCUGAUACUGCGAGCCUAGAGGGGGAUAGGGGCAUGCGGAACUUCCGGUGGAGCGGUGAAAUGCGUUGAGAUCGGAAGGAACGCCCGUGGCGAAAGCGAGUCCCUGGACGUCGGCUGACGCUGAGACGCGAAAGCCAGGGGAGCGAACGGGAUUAGAUACCCCGGUAGUCCUGGCCCUAAACGAUGGGUACUAGAUUGUGGGCUGGACAUGGGCCACAGUCGAAGCAAAAGUGAUAAGUACCCCGCCUGGGGAGUAUGGUCGCAAGGCUGAAACUCAAAGGAAUUGACGGGGGCUCACACAAGCGGUGGAGCAUGUGGCUUAAUUCGAGGCUACGCGCAAAACCUUAUCCCGGGCUUGACAUGCACGGAUUAGCCGGCGGAAACGUCGGUAAGGCCGCAAGGUACAACG
Molecule: ribosomal RNA, 921 nt
Filed under: Lednia tumana
Lineage: Eukaryota; Metazoa; Arthropoda; Insecta; Plecoptera; Nemouridae
Description: bacterial SSU rRNA
Rfam family: Bacterial small subunit ribosomal RNA
Source: RNAcentral